GGUUAAGCGACUAAGCGUACACGGUGGAUGCCCUGGCAGUCAGAGGCGAUGAAGGACGUGCUAAUCUGCGAUAAGCGUCGGUGAGGUGAUAUGAACCGUUAUAACCGGCGAUUUCCGAAUGGGGAAACCCAGUGUGUUUCGACACACUAUCAUUAACUGAAUCCAUAGGUUAAUGAGGCGAACCGGGGGAACUGAAACAUCUAAGUACCCCGAGGAAAAGAAAUCAACCGAGAUUCCCCCAGUAGCGGCGAGCGAACGGGGAGGAGCCCAGAGCCUGAAUCAGUGUGUGUGUUAGUGGAAGCGUCUGGAAAGGCGUGCGAUACAGGGUGACAGCCCCGUACACAAAAAUGCACAUAUUGUGAGCUCGAUGAGUAGGGCGGGACACGUGGUAUCCUGUCUGAAUAUGGGGGGACCAUCCUCCAAGGCUAAAUACUCCUGACUGACCGAUAGUGAACCAGUACCGUGAGGGAAAGGCGAAAAGAACCCCGGCGAGGGGAGUGAAAAAGAACCUGAAACCGUGUACGUACAAGCAGUGGGAGCCUCUUAAUGGGGUGACUGCGUACCUUUUGUAUAAUGGGUCAGCGACUUAUAUUCUGUAGCAAGGUUAACCGAAUAGGGGAGCCGAAGGGAAACCGAGUCUUAACUGGGCGUUAAGUUGCAGGGUAUAGACCCGAAACCCGGUGAUCUAGCCAUGGGCAGGUUGAAGGUUGGGUAACACUAACUGGAGGACCGAACCGACUAAUGUUGAAAAAUUAGCGGAUGACUUGUGGCUGGGGGUGAAAGGCCAAUCAAACCGGGAGAUAGCUGGUUCUCCCCGAAAGCUAUUUAGGUAGCGCCUCGUGAAUUCAUCUCCGGGGGUAGAGCACUGUUUCGGCAAGGGGGUCAUCCCGACUUACCAACCCGAUGCAAACUGCGAAUACCGGAGAAUGUUAUCACGGGAGACACACGGCGGGUGCUAACGUCCGUCGUGAAGAGGGAAACAACCCAGACCGCCAGCUAAGGUCCCAAAGUCAUGGUUAAGUGGGAAACGAUGUGGGAAGGCCCAGACAGCCAGGAUGUUGGCUUAGAAGCAGCCAUCAUUUAAAGAAAGCGUAAUAGCUCACUGGUCGAGUCGGCCUGCGCGGAAGAUGUAACGGGGCUAAACCAUGCACCGAAGCUGCGGCAGCGACACUAUGUGUUGUUGGGUAGGGGAGCGUUCUGUAAGCCUGUGAAGGUGGCCUGUGAGGGUUGCUGGAGGUAUCAGAAGUGCGAAUGC
RNAcentral lists this ribosomal RNA (1255 nucleotides) under Escherichia coli. RNAcentral's name for it is "partial 23S ribosomal RNA". It matches the Rfam family "Bacterial large subunit ribosomal RNA", at positions 1 to 1297 of the family's 2925-position model. Lineage: Bacteria; Pseudomonadati; Pseudomonadota; Gammaproteobacteria; Enterobacterales; Enterobacteriaceae. The record is from RNAcentral.